GUAGAGGCGAUUGAACAGGGAAGAGCACAAAAUGUAAAUCUCAGCGGUAACGCUGCGAAUUGUAGUCUCAAGUUGCAUUACCAGCUUAGUCGUAAGGUAAAUUCUUCUGGAGUGAAGAACCACAGAGGGUGAGAGUCCCGUAUGUCUUACGAUACUAGGUGCACGGUGUGUACACAAAGAGUCGCGCUCCUUGGGAAUGGAGCGCUAAGUGGGUGGUAAAUGUCAUCCAAUGCUAAAUAUUGGUGGGAGACCGAUAGCGAACAAGUACCGUGAGGGAAAGAUGAAAAGAACUUUGAAAAGAGAGUUAAAAGUGUCUGAAAUUGCUGGUAGGGAAGCGGAUCGUAUUGUCCUUGUUAAGGGAGAUGUAACGUGAGAAAGUGGACUGCUUAUGGAAACCGCAAGGGUCUGUAGGUAGAUAAGCUCAUUGUGUUGCUAUCACUCCUUUAGCUUAGUCUACGUCAGUUGUGACUGCGUGAAAACCCGGGAGGCUUCGGCUGAACGACGGCUUACGCGGAUGCAACUGAAGAGGUGAACGCC
Molecule: ribosomal RNA, 537 nt
Filed under: uncultured alveolate
Lineage: Eukaryota
Description: eukaryotic LSU rRNA
Rfam family: Eukaryotic large subunit ribosomal RNA
Source: RNAcentral